CCCUUAGAGUUUGAUCCUGGCUCAGGAUGAACGCUGGCGGCGUGCUUAACACAUGCAAGUCGAACGGGAUCGGCUGGAGCUUGCUCCGGCCGUGAGAGUGGCGAACGGGUGAGUAAUGCGUGACCGACCUGCCCCAUACACCGGAAUAGCUCCUGGAAACGGGUGGUAAUGCCGGAUGCUCCAGUUGGAUGCAUGUCCUUCUGGGAAAGAUUCAUCGGUAUGGGAUGGGGUCGCGUCCUAUCAGCUUGAUGGCGGGGUAACGGCCCACCAUGGCUUCGACGGGUAGCCGGCCUGAGAGGGCGACCGGCCACAUUGGGACUGAGAUACGGCCCAGACUCCUACGGGAGGCAGCAGUGGGGAAUAUUGCACAAUGGGCGCAAGCCUGAUGCAGCGACGCCGCGUGCGGGAUGACGGCCUUCGGGUUGUAAACCGCUUUUGACUGGGAGCAAGCCCUUCGGGGUGAGUGUACCUUUGAAUAGCACCGGCUAUU
Molecule: ribosomal RNA, 490 nt
Filed under: uncultured bacterium
Lineage: Bacteria
Description: bacterial SSU rRNA
Rfam family: Bacterial small subunit ribosomal RNA
Source: RNAcentral